Molecule: long non-coding RNA, 1122 nt
Organism: Tetranychus urticae (two-spotted spider mite)
Lineage: Eukaryota; Metazoa; Arthropoda; Arachnida; Trombidiformes; Tetranychidae
Source: RefSeq, a predicted model, not a curated record
UUUUAUUUGGUGAUAAUUAAAUAAUUGAACUAACCCGUAAGCAGCAAAAUCAGUCCAGAGGUCUACUAAAAGGCGUGUUGCAAGGGAAUCUUUAACAUUGGUUGGUCUAAAUUUGUCCAUUUCAAGAUUGAAAAGGUACAUAUAAACCGGGACUAAGGAAAAACGAGUAAAAUUAUGAGACACAAAGGAGGACAAUCAACCAUUAAAUCAGAUGGAGGCAAUAAUUCAACUUACUUUCAGCGCCCCAAAGUAGCUUGGCUGUUUCAUCGAUGCAACUUGUAUAUAAGGCAUCCGUUGUCAUCUGAAAUGAUAAAUCACAAUUAGGUCUGGAAAAAAGGUUUAAAAUAGGAGAAAAGUAAAAUUUGUGAUUUUUUUCACAAUCAUCUUUUCAAAUUUUCCAAGUUCAACCGUUGAUACAAGAGGAGUAAAAAAAGUAAAAAACUUUAGGAUCAAUGAAGUUAUAAAAGUAACUGAAGAUGAUGAUGAUGAUGACAUUCUUCAACACCAUGAAAUUAAUUGUUAAACUUGAGUGUAUUAUUAGUUUUUUGAUACUUGAGUGAACAAUUUUUUUGCCCACCAAAAUGAUACGCUUUGCUUUGAACAGUUUGUUUGAUCAACUAUUAUCACUUUGCUUUUGUUAUCAACAUCAUCAUCAAAGGAUCAUUCAUUUGUUAUGUUAUGAUAGCUUCAUUUGGCCUACAAAAGGAUUCAACAUGAACGGAAAUCAAUCAUCUGAUAAAAAAAUGUACUUGGAACUGGAAACAUUUUUGAUACUACAGUGUAGUUGUUAACAAUUCACUGCUAUUGUUAUUUCACUGAGACUGUUAAUGAUGGGACAAAUUUGUUUACCAACACCUAAAACCAAUUUUUGCUUCCCUUUUUGUUAUUUCACUCAUUCAACUUUAUGACUAUUGAUCAGUUGUUCAUUUAAUCGUCACAAUUGAAUAAUAUUGGCUUAUACAGCUGAUGAUUCAAAACAUGGGGCUGUAUCAAAAUGAGUGGAUACAAAAUCGUAGUACAUUUAGAAGCGACGAAAACAAUCAAUAAUGGUCUUUAAUAUCAAACCUUUGGGUUCCAUAAAAAACUCACGCAUAAAUAAAUUUCAUCGAUUCCAAUAUCCGA